This 466-nucleotide ribosomal RNA is filed under the name uncultured bacterium. RNAcentral's name for it is "partial 16S ribosomal RNA". It matches the Rfam family "Bacterial small subunit ribosomal RNA", at positions 339 to 795 of the family's 1533-position model. The record is from RNAcentral.
CUACGGGAUGCAGCAGUGAGGAAUUUUGCGCAAUGGGGGAAACCCUGACGCAGCAACGCCGCGUGAGUGAUGAAGGCCUUCGGGUCGUAAAGCUCUGUCAAGUGGGAAGAACCCACCCUGUGCUAAUAUCACAGGGUGCUGACGGUACCACUGAAGGAAGCACCGGCUAACUCCGUGCCAGCAGCCGCGGGUAAUACGGAGGGUGCAAGCGUUAUUCGGAAUUACUGGGCGUAAAGGGCGCGUAGGCGGCCUUUUAAGUCGGAUGUGAAAUCCCGGGGCUCAACCCCGGAAGUGCAUCUGAAACUAAGAGGCUUGAGUAUGGGAGAGGGAAGUGGAAUUCCUGGUGUAGAGGUGAAAUUCGUAGAUAUCAGGAGGAACACCGGUGGCGAAGGCGACUUCCUGGACCAAUACUGACGCUGAGGCGCGAAGGCGUGGGGAGCAAACAGGAUUAGAUACCCGCGUAGUC